RNAcentral lists this ribosomal RNA (497 nucleotides) under uncultured bacterium. RNAcentral describes it as "partial 16S ribosomal RNA". It matches the Rfam family "Bacterial small subunit ribosomal RNA", at positions 28 to 507 of the family's 1533-position model. The record is from RNAcentral.
GAUGAACGCUGGCGGCGUGCCUAAUACAUGCAAGUCGAGCGAACAGACGAGGAGCUUGCUCCUCUGACGUUAGCGGCUGACGGGUGAGUAACACGUGGAUAACCUACUUAUAAUACUGGGAUAACUUCGGGAAACCGGAGCUAAUACCGGAUAAUAUAUUGAACCGCAUGGUUCAAUAGUGAAAGACGGUUUUGCUGUCACUUAUAGAUGGAUCCGCGCCGCAUUAGCUAGUUGGUAAGGUAACGGCUUACCAAGGCGACGAUGCGUAGCCGACCUGAGAGGAGGAUCGGCAACAUGGGAACGGGAACACGGCCCAGCCGACUAAGGGAGGAACAAGAAGGGAAUAUUAGGAAAGGGGGGCAAGCCUGACGGAGCGAGGCCGCGUGGGAGAAGAAGGCCUUGGGAUCGGAAAGCCCGUUUUUUGGGAAAAAAAAAAUGUAUACGAAAAAAGAGCGUUAUUGACGGUACCUAAUAAAAAAGCAACGGCUAACUACGUG